RNAcentral lists this transfer RNA (28 nucleotides) under Anthracoceros malayanus (black hornbill). Its description in RNAcentral is "partial tRNA-Phe". Lineage: Eukaryota; Metazoa; Chordata; Aves; Bucerotiformes; Bucerotidae. The record is from RNAcentral. RNAcentral also lists the same sequence under 3 other names.
GUUCCAGUAGCUUACAUCAACCAAAGCA